RNAcentral lists this ribosomal RNA (439 nucleotides) under uncultured bacterium. RNAcentral describes it as "partial 16S ribosomal RNA". It matches the Rfam family "Bacterial small subunit ribosomal RNA", at positions 339 to 795 of the family's 1533-position model. The record is from RNAcentral.
CUACGGGACGCUCCAGUGAGGAAUAUUGCACAAUGGGCGAAAGCCUGAUGCAGCAAUGCCGCGUGGAGGAAGACAGCCCUCGGGUUGUAAACUCCUUUUAUUUAGGAAGAUUAUGACGGUACUAAGUGAAUAAGAGCCUGCUAACUACGUGCCAGCAGCAGCGGUAAUACGUAGGGCUCGAGCGUUAUCCGGAUUUAUUGGGCGUAAAGAGUUCGUAGGCGGAUAGGCAAGUCGAAUAUUAAAUAUCUUGGCUUAACCAAGGGAAAGUGUUUGAUACUACCUGUCUAGAGAAUGGCAGAGGCAGAUGGAAUUCUCGGUGUAGGGGUAAUAUCCGUAGAUAUCGAGAAGAACACCAAAGGCGAAGGCAGUCUGCUGGGCCAUUUCUGACGCUGAGGAACGAAAGCGUGGGGAGCGAACGGGAUUAGAUACCCGAGUAGUC